RNAcentral lists this transfer RNA (78 nucleotides) under Martinezella tropici. RNAcentral's name for it is "Rhizobium tropici tRNA-Met". It matches the Rfam family "tRNA". From Rfam's summary of the family: Transfer RNA (tRNA) molecules are approximately 80 nucleotides in length. Their secondary structure includes four short double-helical elements and three loops (D, anti-codon, and T loops). Further hydrogen bonds mediate the characteristic L-shaped molecular structure. tRNAs have two regions of fundamental functional importance: the anti-codon, which is responsible for specific mRNA codon recognition, and the 3' end, to which the tRNAs corresponding amino acid is attached (by aminoacyl-tRNA synthetases). tRNAs cope with the degeneracy of the genetic code in two manners: having more than one tRNA (with a specific anti-codon) for a particular amino acid; and 'wobble' base-pairing, i.e. permitting non-standard base-pairing at the 3rd anti-codon position. The record is from RNAcentral. Lineage: Bacteria; Pseudomonadati; Pseudomonadota; Alphaproteobacteria; Hyphomicrobiales; Rhizobiaceae.
AGCAGGGUAGGGAAGCCUGGUCAUCCCAUGUGGUUCAUACCCACAAGAUCGCUGGUUCGAAUCCAGCCCCUGCAACCA